AAAUAAGGAGAAAUCGAGGAGUUCUCUUCCUCCACCCUUUCCCCUCCCCUCCUCUGAGUAGUCUUAUUUUUGGAGGCUGCGCAGGAAGCUUUUCAGCCCAGGAAAGAUCAUCUCACAGUAAGAGGGGGGAAAGAAAUAUCGGGUGCAAAAAAACAGUAGCUGUCAUCCAGGAUGGAAGUGGGGUGAUGCUUCAGGUUCUCCCUGAAAUGUCGGCAAGCGAACUCGAAGGAUCCCCGAUGUCUCUCCUGCUUUCCUUUCCUUCCUGUUUUUUGACUCCCCCCCCUCCCCAGCCAUGCCUCACUGUAUGUCUCCCGAAUGACAGACUCUAGUUAAUUUGGCCUUGGCUUUCACCGAGCAGCUGAUGCAGAGGAGGCCGCAGUUUGCUGGACUCGCAAAGUGGACACUAGAGAAAGAAGGAAGGGGGAAAAGCAGCUGUUGAGAGUGUUAACCUUUUUUUCCUCCUCUCCCCUUUGGCGAUUUUGGCUGAACAUUUUUUUUUUUUUUAAACAAUUGGCUGUUUUAUGCCCCUUGUCUCCCUUUGCUUUUUUUCCUCUUCUGUCAAACUGCAAACUGCAGGAUGAUAGACCCAAUGUACUAUUCCCCUCGCCAGUCUCAGCCCCGUCCCCUGUCUUCUCCCUGAAAUACCUCACCCAGGCUACCUCUGGUUCCCUCUCCAUCUCAUUUGGCUGCUGUUCCCGAAGGCUGAAGCCCCUCGAUACUCCAAAUGGAUGACCAGCCAUUCAGAGAAACAAAUGUACCUGAGACACCUUUAAGAAAAGAACAUGUAUCUCCUUUUCCUACAAUAAAAAUAUGUGUACCAAC
Long non-coding RNA from Gracilinanus agilis (Agile Gracile Mouse Opossum), 822 nucleotides. RefSeq lists it as uncharacterized. The record is from RefSeq and is a predicted model, not a curated record. Lineage: Eukaryota; Metazoa; Chordata; Mammalia; Didelphimorphia; Didelphidae. The transcript has 2 exons.